This 192-nucleotide non-coding RNA is filed under the name Lutispora thermophila. RNAcentral also lists the same sequence under 1 other name. Lineage: Bacteria; Bacillati; Bacillota; Clostridia; Lutisporales; Lutisporaceae. The record is from RNAcentral.
AAACUAAAUAUUAUAACAGGUGCCGGUUGUAUCUAGUUGAUACCAAUCGGUGAAAAGGGAAGUGGGUGCAAAUCCCACGCGGUCCCGCCGCUGUAAAAGAGGAGUCCCCUCAGUAAUGCCACUGUUCAACGGGAAGGCAGAGGGAGAUGAUGAUGCUUGAGCCAGAAGACCUGCCUGUUAUGGACACCGUUA